CUGUGACCUUCACAUCCUUGCCAUACGCCAAUGACACUGAGAUGAGAAAAGACUGGCAGGCAUCAGCAAGGAACUGAACCAAUCCUGGCUGGAGGCUUUAGGUAUACAAAUGGAGAACCUACGACAACAUCUGGAACAGAAUGAGACUGGCAAAAUAUUGGGACCUUCUCAACAAAAGAUUCCAUUGUGGGGUCACAGGACAUAAAGCAGGCUGCAAUUGAAAGUGGAUUAUGAUGGAUUGGAAAAGUUAAUCCAUCUCUGAAAGGUACUGGAGACCAGCUCACCAACCAGGGGCUGGUACAGUGUUUCAAAUCCUGCACUGAGAGAUUCAGUCUUGACUUGGUGUGCCUUGAACUAAACAUACCUUUGGUACUAGUCUUAGUAACAGCAUUUAUCAAUCAAGUCUUUGUGUAGUUGAGUCAGUGAUUUGACAUGUGAAAUGAAUAAUUACGAACUUGCUGACUUGGAGCCCAUUUCA
Non-coding RNA from Manis javanica (Malayan pangolin), 478 nucleotides. NCBI's taxonomy places the organism in Eukaryota, Metazoa, Chordata, Mammalia, Pholidota, Manidae. The record is from RefSeq and is a predicted model, not a curated record.